AUGGCAAUCCUGAAUCCCAGGCCAUCCGGCGUUGUCGAUGCAAGGCCUCGGGUAGAAAUGGCAGCUCUGGCAGGUAAAAAAUAUCAUGGGUAUUAACUAGUGCAGCAGCCGGUACUGAAAGAAUAAGCACAAUCUAACUAGCGUGCAGCAGAAGUGGUAAUUAUGUAGGUGCAAGCGUAAAUCGUCAAUUGCUGGGGGGUAAAUCGUCUGCAGGCGGUUCGAAAAGAAAGAUGUGAAAUCCCAGAGCUUAACUUUGGGUAUGCAUUUUUAACUACCGAGCUAGAGUGUGUCAGAGGGAGGUGGAGUUUAGCGUGUAGCAGUGAAAUGUGUAGAUAUGCGGAGGAACACCGAUGGCGAAGGCAGCCUCCUGGGAUAACACUGACGCUCAUGCACGAAAGCGUGGGGAGCACACAGGAUUAGAUACCCUGGUAGUAUACACCCUAAACGAUGUCAACUAGCUGUUGGGGCCUUCGGGCCUUGGUAGCGCAGCUAACGCGUGAAGUUGACCGCCUGGGGAGUACGGUCGCAAGAUUAAAACUCAAAGGAAUUGACGGGGACCCGCACAAGCGGUGGAUGAUGUGGAUUAAUUCGAUGCAACGCGAAAAACCUUACCUACCCUUGACAUGUCUGGAAUUCCGAAGAGAUUUGGAAGUGCUCGCAAGAGAACCGGAACACAGGUGCUGCAUGGCUGUCGUCAGCUCGUGUCGUGAGAUGUUGGGUUAAGUCCCGCAACGAGCGCAACCCUUGUCAUUAGUUGCUACGAAAGGGCACUCUAAUGAGACUGCCGGUGACAAACCGGAGGAAGGUGGGGAUGACGUCAAGUCCUCAUGGCCCUUAUGGGUAGGGCUUCACACGUCAUACAAUGGUCGGGACAGAGGGUCGCCAACCCGCGAGGGGGAGCCAAUCCCAGAAACCCGAUCGUAGUCCGGAUCGCAGUCUGCAACUCGACUGCGUGAAGUCGGAAUCGCUAGUAAUCGCGGAUCAGCAUGUCGCGGUGAAUACGUCCCCGGGUCUUGUACACACCGCCCGUUCUCCUUUGAGUGGGUUUUACCAGAAGUAGUUAGCCUAACCGUAAGGGGGGCGAUACCACGUAGAUCCGAUCGGGG
RNAcentral lists this ribosomal RNA (1106 nucleotides) under uncultured bacterium. Its description in RNAcentral is "bacterial SSU rRNA". It matches the Rfam family "Bacterial small subunit ribosomal RNA", at positions 365 to 1480 of the family's 1533-position model. The record is from RNAcentral.